This 2316-nucleotide long non-coding RNA is filed under the name Helianthus annuus (common sunflower). The record is from RNAcentral. Lineage: Eukaryota; Viridiplantae; Streptophyta; Magnoliopsida; Asterales; Asteraceae.
UGUACGCUAUUUUUCAUUUAAUGUUAGCUGGUCUUAUAUAUUUGACCAUUGUUUGCAUACAACUUCUUAGAGGGGAUUCUGGUCUUUGUUUAACCAACAUGCCUGUAGAAGAAGCCCAAAGGUUAAUACUACAAACCCAUGUUAGAAGUGCUUCUAAUAUUUAACGAGUAUGAAGACUACGACUAUGCUAGGACUGGUAAUAUUGCUACAGAAACGGUAGUAGUUAUAUGCUAGGACUGCAUUAUAUUUGUUUACAUGCCCUUUUAAAUCUCUACCAACAGCCACAUUAUCAAUCUUAGUGACUCGGUUAAUUCGACUAAUGUGUCUUUAUCUAAUCAAGACAUAGUUGAAGUUAGGGCAGUUUGUGUAUAUUGAUAAAUUUGAGUUUGAUUGACCGGUACCGCGUGUAAGUGGAGUGCGUCUGCUUGCUGGACGCUGUCCGUUAUCCGUUUGUAGAGUUUGUUGUUUAUAUAUUCCAGUUGAUAAAAUCGGGCUAGGUUGUGAAUAUAUCGUGUUGCUGCUAUUGAUUUUUAAUGUUGUUGAUUACCAGAUUCAAGCAACUGUGUUGUUUAUGUUUAGUUAUUUAGUUGUUCCCAAUGGUACGUGAUUGGCCAAGGCUCCAACACUUUUCCGAAAACAUGAACGCCUCUCGCGCAACGCGCGAUAUUGAUAACACUAGUAUCUAUUCCGAAAACAUGAACGCCUCUCGCGCAACGCGCGAUAUUGAUAACACUAGUAUCUAUUAAUAUUAAUAUUAAUAUUAAUAUUAAUAUUAAUAUUAAUAAAAGAGUUGAAAUGAACAGUAGAUAGAAAACAUACCUGGCCUCUAUUUUACAUGUGUUUCAUCCUGCUUUCUACCCAUCUUCUCAAAACUCAAAAGAGAUAUACAGGCACAGAAAGAGACGGAGAAAAUAGAUGCGAAAGAAAGCAAAGAGAGAGAUCCGGAGCCGGCGAAUCUCCGGCAACCGGCCCCACGCGUGCUUGCCUCCCACCCACAGAAACAAAGUCGUCGAGUCUAGGUUUCCCGGUUAGGGUUCCGAUCAAGUUCUGGCAAUUUCCGGUUAGCUUUUUUAUCUUGCAUGUUGGCUAUUUUGUUAGAUCGGUGGUCCAUGAACCUUAAUCUGACGAGUCAUGCUGAUCUGUGGAGUAGGUUACCUCCGGUGAGGUUCCGGUAAGGUUCUAUUACCCAUUGUUGAUGGGUCAGAGGAGAUGGAAGUUGUCAUGAUAAUUGUUGUUCUUUGACGUGCAAAUGCCGAAGUGUCACCACUGGCGGAUUCAGGCCGUCUUGGCCGCGGCUAUUUUAAACGUAAAACCCUAGCCGACGUUUUAGGCGACGACGGUCGGGGUUCAUGCGAGGUUUCAGCCUUUCACCUACCUGACAAUGAUGAUGGCUUGCUACCUGGUACGGCAACUCCGGUUGCAACCGUAGCGCCACUGAGCGGGUUGGACGGCGAUGACGAUCUUUUCGGAUCCGAGUCAAAUUGUGUUGGUAAUUUCGUUUUUUUUUGUUUUGCUGUAUGAGAUUGAUUAUACGAUUGUGUUUCUGGUGUUGGUCAUGUUGUUUCUCGCUGUUGUUUCGGCUGUGAUAUCGAUGGUUGUGCUGUUGAUAGUAGUAAUGAAAAGACAGGACUUUUUUAUGUUCGUGGUAAAAGUACAAAUUGUAUGUUUGUGGAUUGAUUUUGGGAUUUGAAGCAUUAUCCGGCGAUGAUGGUGGAUUGCUAUUUGGCGUGGCAACUAUGUUUGCAGCCGUAGCGGCAUUGAGCCGUGUUUUGUUGGUACCGGCGAUGAUGAAGGGUCAUUCUGAGCCUUUUACGCUAAACCAAUUUGGUGAACCACCAGAGACAUAAUGGCAAACUUUGGAACUUGAACAAUCACCAAACUGAUGUUAUUAAGGCGCUGAUGUUGAAGGAAUUUUGGAGCAUACACUAUUCAAGGGAACAUAGAGAUGAACUAGGGAAAAACACUAUGUGAUGACGUGCUUCAAUGAACGGCAAUUUCCUGGAUGACGGUGGCAGACGUGGGGCGUGCAUUGGUCAAUUUCCUAAUGAAGGUGGCGGACGUGGGGGUGGCGGGUGUGGGGUGCUGGUGUUAGAAUUCUCCUUAAACUCGCAAAUAAUUGUAACACCGAUGCUUUAGUUGCACCAAGUGUUAGGAUAGUGAGUUACUUUUUAGUAUUAUUUAGUAAGACAUGUUGCUGUUCUUUAGGGGAUGUAUGGGACUCUAGCUUUAUGUUCCAUUUGACAUGAUGUUUGGAUAAUUACACUACCACUGCUCUUUUGUAUAUCACGCCUAGGCUUAUAAAAUAGUUACAUGUAA